Molecule: long non-coding RNA, 2706 nt
Organism: Gastrolobium bilobum
Lineage: Eukaryota; Viridiplantae; Streptophyta; Magnoliopsida; Fabales; Fabaceae
Exons: 4
Source: RefSeq, a predicted model, not a curated record
UAACAUUUUUCCCUCGUUCAUUCCAUCGUUGCCGCGUAAAUCGGAAUCGGCGCAUUCGCUUUAACCUAGCAAAUUUCUCCGUCCAAACCGUCCUUUGAUUCAGUCAAAGGCAAAUUUUCGGUUCAUAUCGCAUGGAUCGAACCUUGAUCUGGUUUUUAGGAUGGUUAAUUGGAGAUUCUGUCGAUGUUUCGGUCUCCGUUUUGAUGGAGGCCAGUGGAAUUGCUACAUCUGCAAGGAACCGUUAUUCAAUCUGGUCGUGAAUCUGAUAAGGUAAGUUAUAUUUUUGUUUUUUUUCGAGUUCUGUUAUCUUUAUAUGGAUUUCCGUAUAAUCGGUUAUGAUUAUUGUGUUGGUACAUCUCGGUGGCGCCGCUGAUGAUCGUGGUUAUCUGUGGUCCAUGCUGGUGGUUGAGAUGCGCGAGUUUUUGUUUCGAAACAGAGCAAUUGAAGCGAGAUUGGUUGUAUAAUUUUGGUUGUAUUCAAUCCUUUAGGAGAUUACCUGUUAUAUCGAUUGUGGAUUUGAUUGGUUGAGUUGAAGGUUAUGGUUGAGAGAGAUGUGUGAGGUAUACACCAAAGGUACUUGUUCUGUUUGUUAGUUUGUUCUAUUGCUUGUUAAUGGACCUUUGCCAUGUCAGGUGCGCUUGCAUGGCAGGUCAGAAAAACCUCAAUAAAAUUACGACUCUUUUUUCUGUUGCGGGGGGAGAGAUUCCGGGUUUUUAAUUAUUUUAUUUAUUUUUCCCGGCUCUCCCUCCGCUGUGUGUGUUGCUUCUUCCCCUUCCCCUUUCUUCGUAUUCUUCUUUUCUCUGCCCUAUGAAUUUUUCUGCACUCUAGUACGUUCUACACAUACCAGGAUUACGAUUAGAAAUCGGUUAUCGUUCUGGAACCCGAUUCAACAAAAGAUUGGCAAUCGAUAAGGUACAUGGUUCUGAAACAUACUUUCAUUGAUUUUAGUUACAUGGUUCAUGAAUUUUUUUUUUUUCAUGAAAUUCACUAAAUGUGUGCGGACAUAAAUUACAUCUUCUUGGUCCGUUCUUGGUCCGCCACUGCUUAAUAAUAUAAUUUUACAUUUUACAACUACCAUUAUACCUCGCAUGGCCUAAAUUCAUAGCAUCGUUUUAUAUAUUUAUAAUUAGAAUAGUUCUCAUAGCAUCGUUUUAUGAAUUUAUAAUUAGAAUAGAUGGCCUGCACACAAUUAAACUAUAAGAUGUUUUCAUGGUUUUGCUGCAAUUGCAAUUUGACAUAUACAAAUGAUUUAUAUCUCUUAUGUCAAACACGGCUUUUAGAUUUUCACGAUUAGUAUAACAAUUUUUUCUAUAAUUAAACUUGCUAGUAAUUUCACUGAUCUCCUUUUAAAGCUACACAAGUUUACUGUCGAACUUUAACAACUUAUCGAGUUAGUAGUGGCUUUUGAUCAUCCAAAAUUAUAUGUUACUAUUGUAUGUGCAAUAUACUAUUUAAUUAAAACAAGCAAAGAAACUUCGUAAGCCUAUAUCGUUGACUGUUGAGAGCCCAUGCGCACUUGUACUUUUUCAAAAAUGCAACAUGUAAUCUUACGGUUCAAUCUCUUGCCAAGUUAAUCUGUCAUUUAUAAGUAAUAUAUGUGUUGAUUUAUGAUUCGGAUACUUAUAUUUCGAUCUAUGGUAUACCUACGGAAACCAGUUAUUGUUAUCAUGUAGAAUUAUGCCGGUACAAUAAUUUAAAGUUUGAUUGGUGACUUGUUGCGGCUGUAUUGCAAAGCUUCACUUGUACCAGGGUCUUUUUGGGGUAUGUGGGAGUUUGUAAAUGUGUUUCCCAAAAGCUGCCUUGGUUAGCUUUUGAGGCAGUGGGUACAGAAGGCUGUAAAACCGUUCCUAGUGUAGCUUCAAGGUUCGUUGUAUGUGCAGUUCGCUAUUGUGGAUCUACCUGAGCUUCUGACCUUUUUGGAGCAUUUUGCUACCCGCAAAACACCUUUGUCAAUCAGAUUUCUGAAGAUGUGAGUGACUUUUAACUGCUAGAGAAGGCUUGCGGUUCUGUGAAGCUGGGAAAGUCAUCAGACAACUUAACCCUUUCUGGAUUUCUGAAUCAGCUUAUCUGCAUAAUUGCAUUUUGUUCUUUGGAUCAAUGGUUUUUUUAUUGUUACUCGCUUGAAGGAAAUUUUAAUUUGAUACCGGUGUGAACAUUGUGUUGAUAUUACCAAGAAAUUUCGGUUUCGUCUGCUUCAUCAAAUUAGUCGAUUCUGUUAUAUCAACUAUUGCCCGUGUAUAGUCUUGUUUCUUCACCGUUCAACGAGAUAUAUUCCCGACGUUAGUGGAUGUUUUUAUGGCCUCCGCCAUUGUUGGAUUGAUCUGUAGUUCUUGGAAACACGGUUGACAAUAAAUUCCAGUGAGCUUGCUGAUGACCACACCAUCAGAUUCUCCUCUCUAUUUUUAGUGCUUUCAGAAUGAACUGAUCUCUUUAUGCGACUAAAAUUCCGCUGCCUUUUUUAUUUUUACUCUUGCGUUAUACAGUAACGAAGUGAUGAAUUCGUGAUAGUCGGCUCUGAUUCAUAUUAGAGUUAUUGUGAAUAAUAUCAAUGGUAAUUUUUUCUAUGCCAAAUUUAUGCAACUCGUAACAUAGUUUCUUUACUAUAGAUAUGGAAAGGAUUCAUUUAGAGUACUGAAAAUCCGUUUUUUCUUGGUUGGAGAGGUAAAUUGCAUGUUUUGAAAUGGCUUAAGUUUGAAAAAAAAACAA